CCAAUAGCGUAUAUUAAAGUUGUUGCAGUUAAAAAGCUCGUAGUUGAAUUUCGGGAUCAGAUUGUCGGUCGUGCCUCGGUACGCACUGGCAUUAUUGGUUCCUACCUUCUGAAGAACCGCGAUGUCAUUAAUUUGGUGUCGCGGGGAAUCAGGACUGUUACUUUGAAAAAAUUAGAGUGUUUAAAGCAGGCGCACGCUUGAAUACAUUAGCAUGGAAUAAUGAAAUAGGACGUUUGAUUCUAUUUUGUUGGUUUCUAGGAUCGACGUAAUGAUUAAUAGGGAUAGUUGGGGGCAUUAGUAUUCAAUUGUCAGAGGUGAAAUUCUUGGAUUUAUUGAAGACUAACUACUGCGAAAGCAUUUGCCAAGGAUGUUUUCAUUAAUCAAGAACGAAAGUUAGGGGAUCGAAGACGAUCAGAUACCGUCGUAGUCUUAACCAUAAACUAUGCCGACUAGGGAUCGGAUGAUGUUGAUUUUAUAAUGACUCAUUCGGCGCCUUACG
This 499-nucleotide ribosomal RNA is filed under the name uncultured Glomeromycotina. RNAcentral's name for it is "partial small subunit ribosomal RNA". It matches the Rfam family "Eukaryotic small subunit ribosomal RNA", at positions 591 to 1092 of the family's 1831-position model. The record is from RNAcentral. Lineage: Eukaryota; Fungi; Glomeromycota.